GUUAAUGGGGACGGACUGUAAAUCCGCUGGCAAUGCCUACGCUGGUUCAAAUCCAGCUCGGCCCAA
RNAcentral lists this transfer RNA (66 nucleotides) under Rhynchostegium riparioides. Its description in RNAcentral is "tRNA-Tyr". It matches the Rfam family "tRNA", at positions 17 to 71 of the family's 71-position model. From Rfam's summary of the family: Transfer RNA (tRNA) molecules are approximately 80 nucleotides in length. Their secondary structure includes four short double-helical elements and three loops (D, anti-codon, and T loops). RNAcentral also lists the same sequence under 1 other name. The record is from RNAcentral. Lineage: Eukaryota; Viridiplantae; Streptophyta; Bryopsida; Hypnales; Brachytheciaceae.